UACGGGGGGGGGCAAGCGUUGUUCGGAAUUACUGGGCGUAAAGGGCUCGUAGGUGGCCAACUCAGUCGGACGUGAAAUCCCUCGGCUUAACCGGGGAACUGCGUCCGAUACUGGAUGGCUUGAGAUCGGGAGAGGGAUGCGGAAUUCCAGGUGUAGCGGUGAAAUGCGUAGAUAUCUGGAGGAACACCGGUGGCGAAGGCGGCAUCCUGGACCGACACUGACACUGAGGAGCGAAAGCCAGGGGAGCAAACGGG
Molecule: ribosomal RNA, 254 nt
Filed under: uncultured bacterium
Lineage: Bacteria
Description: partial 16S ribosomal RNA
Rfam family: Bacterial small subunit ribosomal RNA
Source: RNAcentral